GUGUGUGUGUGUGUGUGUGCUGGAUGAUGUGUGUGUGAGUGCUGGAUGAUGGGUGUGUGUGUGUGCUGGAUGAUGGGUGUGUGAGUGCUGGAUGAUGGGUGUGUGAGUGCUGGAUGAUGUGUGUGUGUGAGUGCUGGAUGAUGUGUGUGUGUGUGUGCUGGAUGAUGUGUGUGUGUGUGAGUGCUGGAUGAUGGGUGUGUGUGUGCUGGAUGAUGGGUGUGUG
This is a non-coding RNA of Pelobates cultripes (western spadefoot toad), 223 nucleotides long. NCBI's taxonomy places the organism in Eukaryota, Metazoa, Chordata, Amphibia, Anura, Pelobatidae. The record is from the annotation of a GenBank genome assembly.